CCAGCAAUGGCGUCUGUGUAGGUGCUGCAUGGUUGUCGUCAGCUCGUGCCGUGAGGUGUCGGCUUUAAGUGCCAUAACGAGCGCAACCCUUAUCAUUAGUUACUAUCAGGUAAAGCUGAGGACUCUAGUGAGACUGCCGCCGUAAGGUGUGAGGAAGGUGGGGAUGACGUCAAAUCAGCACGGCCCUUACGUCCGGGGCGACACACGUGUUACAUAUGGGGGGUACAGCGGGUUGCUACCACGCGAGUGGAUGCUAAUCUCUGCAAAGCCUCUCUCAGUUCGGAUCGAAGUCUGCAACUCGACUUCGUGAAGCUGGAUUCGCUAGUAAUCGCGCAUCAGCCAUGGCGCGGUGAAUACGUUCCCGGGCCUUGUACACACCGCCCGUCAAGCCAUGGAAGCCGGGGGGACCUGAAGUACGUGACUGUAAAGAGCGUCCUAGGGUAAAACCGGUAACUGGGGCU
This 461-nucleotide ribosomal RNA is filed under the name uncultured bacterium. RNAcentral describes it as "bacterial SSU rRNA". It matches the Rfam family "Bacterial small subunit ribosomal RNA", at positions 1016 to 1482 of the family's 1533-position model. The record is from RNAcentral.